AGGGAUGUAGCUCAGUUGGUAGAGUGCCUGCCUCACAUGCACAAGGUCCUAGGUUCAAUCCCCAGCACCACAA
RNAcentral lists this transfer RNA (73 nucleotides) under Ictidomys tridecemlineatus (thirteen-lined ground squirrel). RNAcentral describes it as "Spermophilus tridecemlineatus (thirteen-lined ground squirrel) tRNA". It matches the Rfam family "tRNA". Rfam says of the family: Transfer RNA (tRNA) molecules are approximately 80 nucleotides in length. Their secondary structure includes four short double-helical elements and three loops (D, anti-codon, and T loops). The record is from Rfam by way of RNAcentral. Lineage: Eukaryota; Metazoa; Chordata; Mammalia; Rodentia; Sciuridae.